AAGGGCACCACAAGAACGCGUGGAGCAUGUGGCUUAAUUUGACUCAACGCGGGAAAUCUUACCGGGUCCGGACACACUGAGGGUUGACAGGUGUUUCGUAAAGUUAACGGUUUAGUAAUUGUUUGUGCCUUCACGGGUAUUUGCUUUUAUUGGGCUUUUUCAUUUACAUUUCAAAUAUGCUAGUCCUUUCAUGAUUGUGUGAUAGGUGGUGCAUGGCCGUUCUUAGUUCGUGGAGUGAUCUGUCUGCUUAAUUGCGUUUCACUAUUGGCGUGAGUGAGUUAUUAUAGUUCUUUCGUGACCUCAUUAUUUCAUUUAAUAUGUUAUUUUGAUUGCGUCCGGUUCUAUAUGCUUGCCAUCGCCACGAAGGCAACGAACGUGACCGCAACCUCUUGUUGCCUCCCUUGAGCAUUAUAGUUGAAAUUCUCAAUUUAUUUGAGUUAUUUCUUUAUAUUUGCCACAGUCUUAUAAGUGAUUCUUUUAUCUUUUUUUAAACGGAAAGGUAUUUGUAAUUUACUAUAUGUUUUUUACUGCAGUGGAGGGAAACUAGAGGGACCGCUGACAUUUCUUAAACCAGAGAAGGUUGCGGCAAUAACAGGUCUGUGAUGCCUUAGAUGUUCCGGGCUGCACACGUGCUACAAUGAUUAUUGCAGUGAGCAUCUUACCCAGUUCGUGUGCACAGUUGCAGCUUUACCAUCAAGUAUGUUUCUUUGUUUUUGUGCUUGGUGUUUCUCUUAGGAGUAUAUCUUGUGCAUUUGCAUUGUUUCAUGCUGGUAACUCUCUGAUGCAUUUGUUUUUAUUUAGUAAUUAUUGCUUAGUUGUAGUGUUGCUUUAUAAUUUUUAUAACUUUAACGACUAGGCUACUUCGAAAGUAAGUAGCUAAUCAAUUCGAAGUAAUGAUUUCCUUUUAUUUUUAUAUUUUAUAGCACAAUUUACAUGUCCAUAGUCUUUUAUAGGUGGCGCCUUGCGUGUUGCUUUAUAAUGCUAUUGUUUGGCAUGUGCUCCAUUAAUUCGUGGUGGGGACAGACCAUUGUUAAUUGUUGGUCUCGUCUUAACUAGGAAUGCCUUGUACGGGUCUUUGGUUCAACAGACCACCCGGAAUAUGUCCCUGCCCUUUGUACACACCGCCCGUCGCUCUUACCGAUGGACUUCUCUGUGAGUUUGAGGGACUGGAAGCCAUUAAGUUAUUUAUUUAGCUUAAUAAUUUAUUCUAUGGAAACUUAAACGAACAGUGUGGUCUAAAGGAAAGAGAAGUCGUAACAAGGCAUCGGUAGGUGAACCU
This 1279-nucleotide ribosomal RNA is filed under the name Hemisphaerammina bradyi. Its description in RNAcentral is "bacterial SSU rRNA". It matches the Rfam family "Eukaryotic small subunit ribosomal RNA", at positions 1160 to 1816 of the family's 1831-position model. The record is from RNAcentral. Lineage: Eukaryota; Foraminifera; Astrorhizida; Saccamminidae.